Long non-coding RNA from Pelmatolapia mariae (spotted tilapia), 649 nucleotides. RefSeq lists it as uncharacterized. Lineage: Eukaryota; Metazoa; Chordata; Actinopteri; Cichliformes; Cichlidae. The record is from RefSeq and is a predicted model, not a curated record. The transcript is spliced from 3 exons.
UCUCUGCUCCUGGGCAUGACUCUUGCAGCUUUCUUCAUGACUUGGAGUGGAUGGAGAAAAUGGUUUGUAAAAAAAUUCAGUUGUUGCAACAAGAAAACUUUUUACUACAAACUGAUUUUGGAAGAAGAGAAAAAAGUUCUGGAGGAGCUUUUGAGGAAAGAAGCAAAUGAGACUUUGACUAAAGAAAUUAUGAGCAACAUAAAAAGGAAAGACUGGGACGGCUGUUUUAAUGUUGCUCAACAAAUGAUCAAUAAAGCAAAACAUCAAAAACCAGAAGCAACCAACCAGCAGAUCAACUGGAUCAGUGAGGGGAGCUCCAACAGAGGGGGACAGCAUCAUCAAGCAGCAGCACAUCAGCAGGCACAAAUCUAUGAACUUGAUGCUGUGGCACAAGAAAACAAAGACACCAUGCCAUUAUUUGAGGAAUCCGCCUGAAAGAACAUCAAGGUCCGCAGCUCCAGAAACAACGCAAGUGACCACAGACAAGUUAUACACCUUGACAGGCGAUGUGAGGUGUAGAGGGAAAGAGAGGUCAGAUAAAAGGUCUUAAUAUCCACCCUUAUGUGAUUAUAAAUGGAUUGAGAUGAAAUCUGUAAGAGUUUUUGGAAAGGGAAGCAGGAGACUGUUGUUGUAGAGUGGAUUGAGGAGA